This 64-nucleotide transfer RNA is filed under the name Diaphanes citrinus. RNAcentral describes it as "tRNA-Trp". The record is from RNAcentral. Lineage: Eukaryota; Metazoa; Arthropoda; Insecta; Coleoptera; Lampyridae.
AAGGAUUUAAGUUAAAGAAAAACUAGUAACCUUCAAAGUUACCAAUAAAAGGGAUUAAGCCUUA